GACGAACGCUGGCGGCGUGCCUAAUACAUGCAAGUAGAACGCUGAAGAGAGGAGCUUGCUCUUCUUGGAUGAGUUGCGAACGGGUGAGUAACGCGUAGGUAACCUGCCUGGUAGCGGGGGAUAACUAUUGGAAACGAUAGCUAAUACCGCAUAAAAUUGAUUAUUGCAUGAUAAUUAAUUGAAAGAUGCAACUGCAUCACUACCAGAUGGACCUGCGUUGUAUUAGCUAGUUGGUGAGGUAACGGCUCACCAAGGCGACGAUACAUAGCCGACCUGAGAGGGUGAUCGGCCACACUGGGACUGAGACACGGCCCAGACUCCUACGGGAGGCAGCAGUAGGGAAUCUUCGGCAAUGGGGGGAACCCUGACCGAGCAACGCCGCGUGAGUGAAGAAGGUUUUCGGAUCGUAAAGCUCUGUUGUAAGAGAAGAACGGGUGUGAGAGUGGAAAGUUCACACUGUGACGGUAUCUUACCAGAAAGGGACGGCUAACUACGU
This 496-nucleotide ribosomal RNA is filed under the name uncultured bacterium. Its description in RNAcentral is "partial 16S ribosomal RNA". It matches the Rfam family "Bacterial small subunit ribosomal RNA", at positions 28 to 506 of the family's 1533-position model. The record is from RNAcentral.